GACGAACGCUGGCGGCGUGCUUAACACAUGCAAGUCGAACGGAAAGGCCCUGCUUUUGUGGGGUGCUCGAGUGGCGAACGGGUGAGUAACACGUGAGUAACCUGCCCUUGACUUUGGGAUAACUUCAGGAAACUGGGGCUAAUACCGGAUAGGAGCUCCUGCUGCAUGGUGGGGGUUGGAAAGUUUCGGCGGUUGGGGAUGGACUCGCGGCUUAUCAGCUUGUUGGUGGGGUAGUGGCUUACCAAGGCUUUGACGGGUAGCCGGCCUGAGAGGGUGACCGGCCACAAUGGGGCUGGGGAUCCGCCCAAGAUCCCUAGGGGAGGAGCAGUGGGGAAUUUUGGACCAUGGGGCGAAGCCUUAAGCCACAACGGCGCGGUGCGGGAGGCGGCCCUUCGGUUGGAAACCGCUUUUGCCUUGUGCGAAGCCUUGGUUGCCGGAAUGGGUAAAGAAGCACCGGCUAACUACGUG
This 468-nucleotide ribosomal RNA is filed under the name uncultured bacterium. RNAcentral describes it as "partial 16S ribosomal RNA". It matches the Rfam family "Bacterial small subunit ribosomal RNA", at positions 28 to 507 of the family's 1533-position model. The record is from RNAcentral.